This 620-nucleotide long non-coding RNA is filed under the name Capra hircus (goat). RNAcentral describes it as "lncRNA (ENSCHIG00000008216.1)". Lineage: Eukaryota; Metazoa; Chordata; Mammalia; Artiodactyla; Bovidae. The record is from RNAcentral.
CGCGGCUCCUCCUCGCCCCUGUCGCGGUUCCUGCCUCAGGGGCAGCGUCGGGCCGCCCAGCCCGCGCCCCCGCCUCUUCUAGGCUUCCGCACGUGGCUCUCUAGCCAGGUGGAGAGCGUCAGAAUUGAGUUGAACUGUAUGGCACCCACAGUGUGGAGGUGUAAACCUCACCCCCACAUCCUAAUGGGGUCCUCAGUUUGAUGAACGGCCCAAACCAGAUCCCACCCAGGAAAUGAAAGCAUCUUCACCAGGAAUAGGGUCACUUGCUGCAGGAAGCCCCUGCUGGUUCAGCUGGUCAAUGUCAUUAAAUAAAAGCAGGUGAAGAAAUCAAGAAUGAGGGAGGUUCAGCCCAGGAACACGUGUUAGGAGGUAGGAAAACACUUGUCCUGAAUCGCUAUUCUCCACUUCUACACACAUGUCACAGAUUAAGAAAAGAGUCUUCACUCAGGAAAAUCCACAUAGUUGAUCUGCAUCUCUGCAAACUCCUUGCAUCCAGAACUUUAUCCAAACAUGGCCUAAGCCUGUCAUCUCAGGACAGAUGGAAGAAGACACAGAUACAAGAAAAGCAGCAAGGAUCCAGGGAUUGGAGGAAUGAACUGAAUGCGCCGUAAAGCCUCACC